AUGGAAGGGGCAUCGUACCAGCGCUUUCCGAAGGUCAAGAUCCGAGAGCUCAGAGAUGACUAUGCCAAAUUCGAGCUCCACGACACUGAUGUUAGCAUGGCCAACGCCCUCCGUCGCGUCAUGAUCGCCGAGGUCCCCACCAUCGCCAUCGACCUGGUAGAAAUUGAAGUGAACUCCUCAGUUCUCAACGAUGAGUUCAUCGCCCAUCGCCUCGGUCUCAUUCCCCUCACCAGCGAGCGUGCCAUGUCUAUGCGCUUCUCUCGCGACUGUGAUGCUUGUGAUGGUGAUGGCCAGUGCGAGUUUUGCUCUGUCGAGUUUCACCUUCGUGCCAAGUGCCACUCUGACCAAACCCUAGACGUCUCCAGCAAGGAUCUCUAUAGUUCCGAUCACACUGUUGUCCCUGUUGAUUUCUCUGAUUCUGCAGCAGCUGCUGGUGAAGCCCUUGAUACCAAAGGAAUAAUCAUUGUGAAGCUACGUCGGGGUCAAGAAUUGAGGUUGAGAGCCAUAGCCAGGAAGGGCAUUGGUAAAGAUCAUGCAAAAUGGUCGCCUGCAGCAACUGUGACCUUCAUGUAUGAACCAAGCAUUCACAUCAAUGAAGACCUAAUGGAGACAUUAACACUAGAGGAAAAGACUUCCUGGGUUGAAAGUAGCCCAACCAAAGUCUUUGAAUUGGAUCCUGUUACCCACCAGGUUCUGGUGGUUGAUCCAGAGGCAUACACUUAUGAUGAUGAAGUGAUUAAGAAAGCAGAGGCAAUGGGUAAAGCUGGACUAGUGGAUAUCACUGCGAAAGAAGAUAGUUUUAUCUUCACAGUUGAAUCUACCGGUGCAAUAAAAGCUUCCCAGUUGAUACUCAAUGCCAUAGAUAUUCUGAAACAGAAACUGGAUGCAGUCCGCCUUUCAGACGAUACUGUAGAAGCAGAUGAUCAGUUUGGUGAGUUAGGUGCACAUAUGCGAGGUGGAUGAUCCAGAUACCAGGCCUUCCCAUAUGUUUCUAGGAGAUAUGCUUUCUGGAAUGGCAUUCUCAUUUGAAAUGCUGUCAAAAAGAUGCUCAGAAUUUUGUCUGAGAAAGUCAGACAUGGCUGCCUGCACACACCUUUGCUGCUUCCUCUGAGAACAGUUGACUCUUCAAAGGCUGGAUUCUUUCGGGGCCCCUAAGGAAGAAAACAACAACCAGAACCUUCUCUGAGUUAUUUUGGAAUUCAACUACCCUUAUUAUCUCAACCACUUUAAAAUGGACUUUACUCAUGUUUCUCUUCAUUUCUUCUUAUUAACCUGUUGGAGAAUGGUGUUGCAAGACAAAUUUUAUUAACAUGUUUUUGUUUGAGUUGUUCUUAGAGUAUUUGUUCUUUGGACUUGGAGGACAAAUCUUU
This is an RNA transcript of Cucurbita maxima (winter squash), 1370 nucleotides long. It is a transcript of the gene named DNA-directed RNA polymerases II, IV and V subunit 3-like, with no coding region annotated. The record is from RefSeq and is a predicted model, not a curated record. NCBI's taxonomy places the organism in Eukaryota, Viridiplantae, Streptophyta, Magnoliopsida, Cucurbitales, Cucurbitaceae. The transcript is spliced from 5 exons.